CGGUCACAGUGUGCCCGUUAUUCCCAUUAUUAUUCCCGUUAUUAUUCCUGUUAUUAUUCCCAUUAUUCCCGUUAUUAUUCCUGUUAUUAUUCCCAUUAUUCCCGUUAUUAUUCCCGUUAUUCCCAUUAUUAUUCCCGUUAUUAUUCCCGUUAUUCCCGGUGUUUUUCCAGCUCCGCGGCUGCGGCUCCAUCCCGGAGGUGCCCGUUAUUAUUCCCGUUAUUAUUCCCGUUAUUAUUCCUGUUAUUCCCGGUAUUAUUCCCGUUAUUCCCGGUAUUAUUCCCGUUAUUCCCGUUAUUAUUCCCGUUAUUCCCGUUAUUUAUUCCCGUUUUUCCAGCUCCGUGGCUGCGGCUCCAUCCCGGAGGUGACGGUUAUUAUUCCCGUUAUUAUUCCCGUUAUUCCCGGUGUUUAUUCCCGUUAUUAUUCCCGGUUUUCCAGCUCCGUGGCUGCGGCUCCAUCCCGGAGGUGACGGUUAUUAUUCCCGUUAUUAUUCCCAUUAUUAUUCCCGUUAUUCCCGUUAUUUAUUCCCGGUGUUUUCCAGCUCCGUGGCUGCGGCUCCAUCCCCGAGGUGACGGUCACCGUGUGCCCGUUAUUCCCAUUAUUAUUCCCGUUAUUCCCGGUGUUAUUCCCGGUGUUUUUCCCGUUAUUCCCGUUAUUAUUCCUGUUAUUCCCGUUAUUUAUAUCCGUUUUUCCAGCUCCGUGGCUGCGGCUCCAUCCCGUUAUUCCCGUUAUUCCCGGUGUUUUUCCCGGUGUUUUUCCAGCUGCGUGGCUGCGGUUCCAUCCCGUUAUUCCCGGUGUCAUUCCCGUUAUUCCCGUUAUUAUUCCCGUUUUUUUUCCAGCUCCGUGGCUGCGGCUCCAUCCCGUUAUUCCCGUUAUUCCCGUUAUUUAUUCCCGGUGUUUUUCCAGCUCCGUGGCUGCGGCUCCAUCCCGGAGGUGCCGGUUAUUAUUCCCGUUAUUAUUCCCGUUAUUAUUCCUGUUAUUCCCGUUGUUUAUUCCCGUUUUUCCAGCUCCGUGGCUGCGGCUCCAUCCCGUUAUUAUUCCCGUUUUUCCCGUUAUUCCCGUUUUUCCAGCUCCGUGGCUGCGGCUCCAUCCCGUUAUUAUUCCCGUUUUUCCCGUUAUUAUUCCCAGUGUUUUUCCAGCUCCGUGGCUGCGGCUCCAUCCCGUUAUUAUUCCCAUUAUUCCCGUUAUUAUUCCCGUUAUUCCCGUUAUUUAUUCCCGUUUUUCCAGCUCCGUGGC
RNAcentral lists this long non-coding RNA (1233 nucleotides) under Taeniopygia guttata (zebra finch). RNAcentral describes it as "lncRNA (ENSTGUG00000026191.1)". The record is from RNAcentral. Lineage: Eukaryota; Metazoa; Chordata; Aves; Passeriformes; Estrildidae.